AUUGAACGCUGGCGGCAUGCCUUACACAUGCAAGUCGAACGGUAACGGGCCUUCGGGUGCCGACGAGUGGCGAACGGGUGAGUAAUGUAUCGGAACGUACCUUUCAGUGGGGGAUAACGUAGCGAAAGUUACGCUAAUACCGCAUAUUCUGUGAGCAGGAAAGCAGGGGAUCGCAAGACCUUGCGCUGAUUGAGCGGCCGAUAUCAGAUUAGCUAGUUGGUGAGGUAAAGGCUCACCAAGGCGACGAUCUGUAGCGGGUCUGAGAGGAUGAUCCGCCACACUGGAACUGAGACACGGUCCAGACUCCUACGGGAGGCAGCAGUGGGGAAUUUUGGACAAAUGGGGGGCAACCCUGAUCCAGCCAUGCCGCGUGAGUGAAGAAGGCCUCGGGUUGGUUAAAGACGUC
This 406-nucleotide ribosomal RNA is filed under the name uncultured bacterium. Its description in RNAcentral is "bacterial SSU rRNA". It matches the Rfam family "Bacterial small subunit ribosomal RNA", at positions 30 to 436 of the family's 1533-position model. The record is from RNAcentral.